AGAGUUUGAUCCUGGCUCAGAAUCAACGCUGGCGGCGCGCCUAACACAUGCAAGUCGAACGAGAAAGUGGAGCAAUCCAUGAGUACAGUGGCGUACGGGUGAGUAACACGUGGGUAAUCUACCCUUUGGUAUGGAAUAACUUUGGGAAACCGGAGCUAAUACCGCAUAAUCCUGAGAAGGUAAAGCAGCAAUGCGCCGAAGGAGGAGCCCGCGGCCGAUUAGCCAGUUGGUAGGGUAAUGGCCUACCAAAGCUAAGAUCGGUAGCCGGCCUGAGAGGGCACACGGCCACACUGGCACUGAAACACGGGCCAGACUCCUACGGGAGGCAGCAGUGGGGAAUCUUGCACAAUGGGGGAAACCCUGAUGCAGCGACGCCGCGUGAGCGAUGAAGCCCUUCGGGGUGUAAAGCUCUUUCGGCAGGGAAGAUUAUGACGGUACCUGCAGAAGCAGCUGCGGCUAACUACGUGCCAGCAGCCGCGGUAAUACGUAGGCAGCAAGCGUUGUUCGGAGUUACUGGGCGUAAAGGGUGUGUAGGCGGCUCCUUAAGUUUGGUGUGAAAUCUCCCGGCUCAACCGGGAGGGUGCGCCGAAUACUGAGGGGCUAGAGUGCGGGAGAGGAAAGUGGAAUUCCUGGUGUAGCGGUGAAAUGCGUAGAUAUCAGGAGGAACACCGGUGGUGUAGACGGCUUUCUGGACCGUAACUGACGCUGAGACACGAAAGCGUGGGUAGCAAACAGGAUUAGAUACCCUAGUAGUCC
Molecule: ribosomal RNA, 756 nt
Filed under: uncultured bacterium
Lineage: Bacteria
Description: bacterial SSU rRNA
Rfam family: Bacterial small subunit ribosomal RNA
Source: RNAcentral